AUGACAACAAAAACACCAAAAAUAGUUACAUCAGGACCAACAACAUCCUCUACCACAGCUGUUGUUGAAACCACGACCACAGUUCCACAUGUGGAAACAACAGGUCAAGGAUCCACCACGGUUACAUCUAAACCAUCUGUGAGUACUGAAAUUACAUCUGGACCUUUCACUACCACUAAAGGAACAGCUGCAACACCUACAGAGACAACAGCAUUUGAAUCCACAACAGCCACAAUUAUGACAACAAAAACACCGAAAAUAGUUACAUCAGGACCAACAACAUCCUCUACCACAGCUGUUGUUGAAACCACGACCACAGUUCCACAUGUGGAAACAACAGGUCAAGGAUCUACCACGGUUACAUCAAAACCAUCUGUGAGUACUGAAAUUACAUCUGGGCCUUUCACUACCUCUAAAGGAACAGCUGCAACACCUGCACAAACAACAGCAUUUGAAUCCACAACAGCCACAGUUAUGACAACAAAAACACCAAAAAUAGUUACAUCAGGACCAACAACAUCCUCUACCACAGCUGUUGUUGAAACCACGACCACAGUUCCCCAUGUUGAAACAACAGGUCAAGGAUCCACCACGGUUACAUCAAAACCAUCUGUGAGUACUGAAAUUACAUCUGGGUCUUUCACUACCACUAAAGGAACAGCUGCAACACCUCUACAAACAACAGCAAUUGAAUCCACAACAACCACAGUUAUGACAACAAAAACACCAAAAAUAGUUACAAUGGGACCAACAACAUUCUCUACCACAGCUAUUGUUGAAACCACGACCACAGUUCCACAUGUUGAAACAACAGGUCAAGGAUCCACCACGGUUACAUCAAAACCAUCUGUGAGUACUGAAAUUACAUCUGGGUCUUUCACUACCACUAAAGGAACAGCUGCAACACCUCUACAAACAACAGCAACUGAAUCCACAACAACCACAGUUAUGACAACAAAAACACCAAAAAUUGUUACAACGGGACCAACAACAUUCUCUACCACAGCUAUUGUUGAAACCACGACCACAGUUCCACAUGUUGAAACAACAGGUCAAGGAUCCACCACGGUUACAUCUAAACCAUCUGUGAGCACUGAAAUUACAUCUGGGCCUUUCACUACCACUAAAGGAACAGCUGCAACACCUGCACAAACAACAGCAUUUGAAUCCACAACAGCCACAAUUAUGACAACAAAAACACCAAAAAUAGUUACAACGGGACCAACAACAUUCUCUACCACAGCUAUUGUUGAAACCACGACCACAGUUCCACAUGUUGAAACAACAGGUCAAGGAUCCACCACGGUUACAUCUAAACCAUCUGUGAGUACUGAAAUUACAUCUGGGCCUUUCACUACCACUAAAGGAACAGCUGCAACACCUACAGAGACAACAGCAUAUGAAUCCACAACAGCCACAAUUAUGACAACAAAAACACCAAAAAUAGUUACAUCAGGACCAACAACAUCCUCUACCACAGCUGUUGUUGAAACCACGACCACAGUUCCACAUGUUGAAACAACAGGUCAAGGAUCCACCACGGUUACAUCUAAACCAUCUGUGAGUACUGAAAUUACAUCUGGGCCUUUCACUACCUCUAAAGGAACAGCUGCAACACCUGCACAAACAACAGCAUUUGAAUCCACAACAGCCACAAUUAUGACAACAAAAACACCGAAAAUAGUUACAUCAGGACCAACAACAUCCUCUACCACAGCUGUUGUUGAAACCACGACCACAGUUCCACAUGUGAAACAACAGGUCAAGGAUCCACCACGGUUACAUCAAAACCAUCUGUGA
Molecule: long non-coding RNA, 1800 nt
Organism: Oreochromis niloticus (Nile tilapia)
Lineage: Eukaryota; Metazoa; Chordata; Actinopteri; Cichliformes; Cichlidae
Source: Ensembl